GAGUUUGAUCGUGGCUCAGAUUGAACGCUGGCGGCAUGCCUUACACGUGCAAGUCGAACGGCAGCACGGGAGCUUGCUCCUGGUGGCGAGUGGCGAACGGGUGAGUAAUGCAUCGGAACGUAUCCUGGAGUGGGGGAUAACGUAGCGAAAGUUACGCUAAUACCGCAUAUUCUGUGAGCAGGAAAGCGGGGGACCUUCGGGCCUCGCGCUCUUGGAGCGGCCGAUGUCGGAUUAGCUAGUUGGUGAGGUAAAGGCUCACCAAGGCGACGAUCCGUAGCAGGUCUGAGAGGAUGAUCUGCCACACUGGAACUGAGACACGGUCCAAACUCCUACGGGAGGCAGCAGUGGGGAAUUUUGGACAAUGGGGGCAACCCUGAUCCAGCCAUGCCGCGUGAGUGAAGAAGGCCU
This 408-nucleotide ribosomal RNA is filed under the name bacterium enrichment culture clone ALO1_GLFRUDD03GBNED. Its description in RNAcentral is "bacterial SSU rRNA". It matches the Rfam family "Bacterial small subunit ribosomal RNA", at positions 9 to 417 of the family's 1533-position model. The record is from RNAcentral.